AGGACUAACGCUGGCGGCGUGCCUAACACAUGCAAGUCGAACGAGAGUAGCAAUACUCUAGUGGCAGACGGGUGAGUAACACGUGGUCAACCUACCUCUAUGUGGGGGAUAACUAGCCGAAAGGUUAGCUAAUACCGCAUACGAUCGUCGAGCGGCAUCGCUUGACGAUGAAAGGAGCAAUCCGCAGAGAGACGGGACCGCGUCCCAUUAGCUAGUUGGUGGGGUAACGGCCUACCAAGGCGACGAUGGGUAGCUGGCUUGAGAGAGCGACCAGCCACACUGGGACUGAGACACGGCCCAGACUCCUACGGGAGGCAGCAGUGAGGAAUUUUUCCGCAAUGGGCGAAAGCCUGACGGAGCGACGCCGCGUGUGGGAAGAAGGCCCUAGGGUCGUAAACCACUGUCGAAGGGGAGAUAUUGACGGUACCCUUGGAGGAAGCCCCGGCUAACUACGUGCCAGCAGCCGC
RNAcentral lists this ribosomal RNA (467 nucleotides) under uncultured bacterium. Its description in RNAcentral is "SSU rRNA". It matches the Rfam family "Bacterial small subunit ribosomal RNA", at positions 26 to 518 of the family's 1533-position model. The record is from RNAcentral.